This 720-nucleotide long non-coding RNA is filed under the name Homo sapiens (human). Its description in RNAcentral is "non-protein coding lnc-DHRS7C-2:2". Lineage: Eukaryota; Metazoa; Chordata; Mammalia; Primates; Hominidae. The record is from RNAcentral.
CGAUUCUACUUGUCAAAUUGCCCAAGAAAUUGCUGAGAAAAUUCAACAACGAAAUCAAUAUGAAAGAAAAGGUGAAAAGGCACCAAAGCUUACCGUGACAAUCAGAGCUUUGUUGCAGAACCUGAAGGAAAAGAUCGCCCUUUUGAAGGACUUAUUGCUAAGAGCUGUGUCAACACAUCAGAUGUAUCCAUGUAAACAUUUCCACCUCUUUUCUAGAGUGGGAGGAAAAGCAGUCGUAUUUUAAGAAAGGAAGGAAUCUGGGCCACCCAGAUUUUCCCACAGCUUGAGGAAGACCUGGUUUCCAAAAUAUUGCCUGUAAUCUUGAUUUCUAUUUUAAGUGUCUGUUACAUGUUUUACAGUGAAUAUGCUGGCAAAGCAAGACCUACCGAGGGAAUUAACUUAUUUGGGUAUAACCUGUACAGUUCAGGAAGCUAAUGUUUUCCGUCAGUGCGGUAUUUACGGAGCCCCACACUGCUCUCUGUCUAGACCGCCUUGACCAUGGCUAGCUACUGCUCCAACAGGAAAACUUCCAUGAUCAUCCUAAGCUGUGAUUCCGCUUCUGGGAGUUUCCAGAGUUUUUAAUGAUCCAUUUAUUUUCGGAGUGGGCAAUACCAGUAGAAACCAUACAUCUCUCCUCUCACCACCUGCCCCGUGUUUAUGUAGAUUUGAGAUGUGCCUUAUUUUUCCUCCAGAGGCACAGACACUGCCUCUAGUAUGGGA